CGGGCUGUAGCGCAGCUUGGUAGCGCGCUUCGUUCGGGACGAAGAGGCCGCGGGUUCAAAUCCCGCCAGCCCGACCU
Molecule: transfer RNA, 77 nt
Filed under: Bifidobacterium callitrichos DSM 23973
Lineage: Bacteria; Bacillati; Actinomycetota; Actinomycetes; Bifidobacteriales; Bifidobacteriaceae
Also listed under: 1 other name
Description: tRNA-Pro
Rfam family: tRNA
About the family: Transfer RNA (tRNA) molecules are approximately 80 nucleotides in length.
Source: RNAcentral